GCCAGUGUGGUGUAGUGGUUUGUGUGUUGGACUACAACUCUGGAGACCCUGGAGACCAGGGUUCAGUUCCCAGCUUGGCCA
Phrynosoma platyrhinos (Desert horned lizard) is the source of this 81-nucleotide non-coding RNA. Lineage: Eukaryota; Metazoa; Chordata; Lepidosauria; Squamata; Phrynosomatidae. The record is from the annotation of a GenBank genome assembly.